CAAGAGAUGAACGGUUGCCGUCGGACUGGCGAUUCGCGCGCUGCCGAGCUGAGGGGGACACGGGAAAAACAAAACAAAACGUUAUGCUCCAGAUCAGUAUGUUCGACGGUGACCAUUACUGAUGAGUAGACAAGCGUCGUCGUUCUUUCCUUUUUAAACGUAUUGGCAGAUGAUCUCAAGAACACUUAAAAAAACAAUCUGUAUUUAAUAAGGAAGUAUUCACAUGAACUGAAAAUGUAAACAGUCCCAUCAGUCCUCUUUCUGUAAUGCUGCAGUGAAACCUCAGCUAUGUUGGAAAGAAAUGGCAUGGAGUGAUGUAAAUGUUGUCAGUGGCCAUUUCAGAUCUGCAUCAUGAUAAAUUGUCUACGAAAGCCACUGAAUGAUACUCGCAGUGACAUGGAGUGAUGGAACUUUCGCUGCCCUUGGUUUGUUUGUUUUGCCGGCCUGUGUGCCAGUGUAGUGAAGAAGAAGUGUGGCUUGUUUUGGUCCGAGUGGGCAGUGGUUGUUCGGAUGCCUUGCCAGCCCGUUGUGCUGCUCGGAAGAAACGCCCACACACACAUACACACACACGCUAACACAGACGCACAGAGACACAGUGCCGUGUACAUCGGAGGCCUUGGUGGUAUGUGGCAGAUACCCAGAGCUGCAGCCCACUCCAGUGUGCCAAGAAGAAUCCCUCUGUUCAUGAAGUGGACAGUCACAACAGACUAAACAAGGAAAAAGGUCUUUCUCUUGUGUAACCUGAAAAGAAUUGAAGAAUUAAAGACUUUGCCGUGGCAUAGACCAUGAAAUAACAAGAAUUCUCUAUCAUACAAGUGGCUUGUAAGGUUCCUCGAUGAUAAACUGGUUGGAACGUACAAUCAGCUUCAUUGUACAUCACUAAUUUCUAUAGAACUACAGAAAUCUGUGAAGCUCCACCAUGUGGUCAAGUUGGAGAAUUGUUGCCAAGCAAAAUAAACCGAUUCCCAGAAAUCUGUGUCUA
Onychostoma macrolepis is the source of this 982-nucleotide long non-coding RNA. RefSeq lists it as uncharacterized. Lineage: Eukaryota; Metazoa; Chordata; Actinopteri; Cypriniformes; Cyprinidae. The record is from RefSeq and is a predicted model, not a curated record. The transcript has 3 exons.